Passer domesticus (house sparrow) is the source of this 1191-nucleotide long non-coding RNA. RefSeq lists it as uncharacterized. The transcript is spliced from 4 exons. The record is from RefSeq and is a predicted model, not a curated record. Lineage: Eukaryota; Metazoa; Chordata; Aves; Passeriformes; Passeridae.
GAGGGACUGACAUGCAAUGGGAGGAGGAACAGUGAACAAAAGGGCAGGUCUUUGGAGAGAUGGACAAGUGGGGCAAAACCAACACAUGGGGUAAAGGAGCAAGCCCUUGAUCUAGUCCUCUUUUUAAUGCAAAUACUUCGCAGCACUGUGCUGACCAAUUCGAAGACAGCUUCCCCUUUUCUACAGCUUCCAUAUUUUGACCAUCUAUUAUCGCAUACUCAGAAGCUCUUUUCCCAGAGACUACUCUAGAGGAUCCAUCUGUGAACAAGACUCUCCCAUGAGACUGCUGCAGCUGCAAUCGCUUGCAGGCAAGUUGGCCACCCCCGGGCUACAGGAUCUAGUAAUUUGGACAGAAAUGCUACAGGUUUUCGUGAUCCUCCCCAUUCUUGGAUCUUCACGCUCCCUUCACUCACAACCCCACCCUGCCAACAGGCAGCAUAUGUUAGCUGUUCUAUAUCGGGAUUCUCCUGAGUUCGCAAAAACUGGUUCAGUUGGGAACACAUCCAUGGAUCAUGAGUUCCAUACCAUGGCCACCUUCCUUGUAAUUUCAGCUUUGGCCAAAUCUCUGUACAAUAAUAAAUCAUUCUAACUUGGUCAAGGGUUUUAGUGGCUUCUUAAGAAUCCCAAUGGUCUAAUAACUGUCCAAGUGGACUAUCUAAUGGAAUACUCUUUAUCUUCUUUUUUCCUUUGAAAGGGAUCCCUGUUUUACUAACACACUGACCCAUCCUUAAAUAAAUAAACUAAGAUCCCAAAUGUGCCCCUACCCAAACGGAAAUUUACUGACGGGCAACACAAAUCUACAAGUAAAUCAUGUAUUUUUCGUCUUUUUUUCAACUGAAUAAAUAACUUUAACUUAAGCCUUUCUUCCCCCCUUUUUAUAACUUAUACCCUUUCUCAAUCACUCUCCCUCUCACUCUCUCUCUCUCUCUUUUUACCCGGCUAAACUAACUGCAUUCACACCACCUAAAUGUACCCCCGCGCCUCGCCUCUACCCUAGAGACUCUUGAGCACCCUUUUCGACGCAGCCAGGGUCCCUAGUAUUAGAAUCCCCUCCCUGGGACCCAGGACCUUCCCUUGUCUAGCCACCUGCCAAGCUGGACCUCAAGUCCUAACCCCGGACUAGACUGUCCUGUUCUAAUACCGUAUCUGCCUUCCUCACUUUUUUGAACGGAGGUAGGAAGGUUCCAGGAG